RNAcentral lists this non-coding RNA (23 nucleotides) under Arabidopsis thaliana (thale cress). The record is from RNAcentral. Lineage: Eukaryota; Viridiplantae; Streptophyta; Magnoliopsida; Brassicales; Brassicaceae.
ACCGUUCUCACGAGCAAAUGGUU